Molecule: long non-coding RNA, 212 nt
Filed under: Elaeis guineensis (African oil palm)
Lineage: Eukaryota; Viridiplantae; Streptophyta; Magnoliopsida; Arecales; Arecaceae
Description: long non-coding RNA (EGUI_LNC012890)
Source: RNAcentral
AGGAUGCUAGGACUUGCAUUGUAGAGCCUUAGUUUUCUCUAGCAUUCUAUUUUUGUUAUAUGUGUAUGCUAUACUUUUUGAACUUUUAGAUGUUUAUUAUCAUUGUAAACAUCUUUAGAAAGUAAUGAAAAGGAGAAUUUUUGAAAAUUUAGUCUCUACUUGAAUGAAUGCAAUAUUGAUUGCUAUUGAUGCUUACCCUUCUAAAUUAUGCU